CGCGCACCGCGACCGGCAUGGCGGCCGCCUCGGCGCUGCCGGCCCGGCCCGGCGUACGGGGAGCGGCGCGGUUACCCUCGUGAGACCGGCUCGGGACGGGACGGGCCCGGCCGGCGGGCCGCCUCGGUACUCGCAGUUGGGCCACCUUCCAUGCGAUGGAGCAACGUAGCUAAGCUGUAGGUUGCCUUAUGCUUGCAACACUGCAACCCCGAGGAAGUCUGCAUCUGCAGAGAUCUGCCUUCAUGCCUGGACUGAUAAGCGACGCUGGGGAAGCGUCUUGGCCAGUGGUUUCUCUUUCCAGAUGCUGCUGCAGUAUCCCGCCUCCUCAUCGCAUCGCCCUCUGGAAGACAGAAGUGACGAUCAGCAGCGUGGUGUUGUCCUGCAGGCAGCUGAAGAACCACUUUGACAGCAAGCAGGAGAACAACUAUGCAGUGUAAUCACAGCCUGUCUGUGCUCUUUCUAACAGUGUACAUGAGCACCCUAUUCCCAGCGAGGGGAUGCUGUAACCUCCCCCUGCUGACCUGUAUUCUUCUCCGUUACUGUAACCAAGCUGUUUCUUUCCCACAGCCACGCGUUCCUGCAGAUAUACCAAGGGUUCCCAUGCAGAUAGGUUUACAAAUUCAGGAAGGGCUUGGACAGAGCAAAAGGAGAAUGAAGUAAUUCCCAAAUAUUUGCACUGUGGCUGAUGAAAUUAGCAGGAGAGCUGAGUGGGUGUAUAGGGGUCUGCUGGGGGACGGAUGGAAGGAAACCUGGGGACAAACUGUCUCCUGUUCGACGUGCUCUGAGUGCUGUGUGAUAAAGGUGAAUCACCCAGCUUAGCUGCAGGUGAGCCAGCAGGACAGUGGCUGGGGCCGGGUCCCACUGCAGCCUGUGUGGGGGCUGUGUGCUGGGUCCGGUGGGCUUUGAAUCCCACCACAAAGACAGUGGCUGUCGACAAGGUCACGAACGCAGAGCUUCGCCUUCUGUUGAUUAUGUGGUUGUCAGUGGAAGAAUUACUGUGUAUCUAUGGGAAAUGUUAAAAAACAACAACGCCUUUUUUUCUUGAAUAAAUCUGUGAAACGAACCAACCUUUGUUUCUGUUCUGUUUCUUUGGGUUUCAUUCCCUUUGCGCUUAGCGACCCAUCGCUGUCCAACCCCCCCCC
RNAcentral lists this long non-coding RNA (1142 nucleotides) under Gallus gallus (chicken). The record is from RNAcentral. Lineage: Eukaryota; Metazoa; Chordata; Aves; Galliformes; Phasianidae.